AAAUGAAUAACAAUAAUGUGGUCUGCGGAGCCGAUUGCUGCGGAAUCCACUCUCUUAUUGUUGCAUCUUCCCUGUCAGUUUAAUAUAAUCGGUGCUUCUCAGAACUGCUCAACUCCGGCCAGUUUCAAUGGAGAUCUUCAGAGCUCCAUUCGGAGAAUCGGCCAUUCAAGCACUGUAUUCACCAUUUUUGUCGCGGUUGCCUUUUUCCUUUUAUUAUCCCUCUCUUUUCUCUACGUCUCCCCCUGCAAUCUUUCUCAUCAUCGUCUAGGUGAUUUGUACGGAGUUGAAUCUAAUAAUAGGUCCAUUCUAGGCUUAAAAUCGGAUCCUUUUAACUCAAGGGUAAAAGACACUGUCUUUGCACUCAUGGAGCAAUUAACCCAGGCAAGGAAGCAAGGUGCUUGGAUAGCUGCAAAGUCUAUUCCAGAGAGCAUGCAUUGUUUGUCAAUGAGGUUAAUGGAAGAACGAAUUGCACAUUUGGAGAAAUACAUAGAUGAUGGGAACCCUACUCCAUCGGAGUUUGAGGAUCCUAAGCUUUAUCAUUAUGCAAUUUUCUCUGAUAAUGUGCUUGCUGCUUCAGUUGUUGUGAACUCAGCUGUACAGAAUUCGAAAAAUCCAUCACUGCACGUGUUUCAUGUUGUGACUGAUAAAGUGAAUUUUUGGGCUAUGCAAGUUAUGUUCAAGAUGAAAGAUUACAGUGGAGUUCACAUUGAAGUGAAGGUUGUUGAAGAUUUUAAGUUCUUCAACUACUUAAGCAACUUCAAUCUGCAAAGAUGCAUGCAACCAAGAAAUUCAGGAACCCCGUAUAUCUGUCAAUAUUGAACCACCUUAUGUUCUAUUUGCCCGAAAUGUAUCCCAAUCUGCACAGGAUUUUAUUCUUGGGUGAUGAUGUAGCUGUUCAGAGAGAUCUGACAGGCCUAUGGAAAAUAGAUAUGGAUGGGAGCUGUAGAGACAUUCUUUGGUUCAUUCUAUCGAUAUGGACAGUUCAUGAAUUUCUCACAUCCAUUGAUCAAAAACAAGUUUAACCCCAAAGCAUGUGCAUGGGCUUUUGGAAUGAAUUUUUUUGACUUAGAUGCUUGGAGGAGGGAGAAGUCCACUGAAGAGUACCAUUACUGGCAGAACAUGAAUGAAAAUCGGAAAUUAUGGAAAUUGGGAACAUUGCCUCCAGGUUUGAUCACAUUUUACUCCACAACAAAGGUACUUGAUAGGUCUUGUCAUGUAUUGGACCCUCGCUUUAAUCCAAUCAUCAACGUGGAUGAUAUCGACAAUGCUGCUGUGGUCCACUUCAAUGGGAAUAUGAAACCAUGGCUCGAUAAUGCAAUUAUUCGGCCUCUUUGGUCCAAGUAUGUUGAUAAAGAAAAUGAGCAUGUGCAGGCAUGUAAUUUCAAUUUUGGUGAUGGUUAAACAUAUGCUUGAUGGAGUUAACAAGCUAGUCCUACGAGCAUCUCCUGUUUGGCUUGUCACUUCUCCCUCACACAUAAAGUUAGUACUCAACUUUAACUUUUCUACUACAUCUAUCUUAGUUUUAGCAUUUUUCUUUUUCUACUUCAGUUUAGUGUUUUAGUUUUCAAUUGUUUAUAAAAAAAUUUACCAUUCUUAGCGGCUGGGGAAAUUAUUUCAAAUGCACUUUUUAAUUUUGAAGUUUAUAUCGGUGUAUAAUGUCAAUUUUCAGGGGGUAAUAUAUUUUCAUGAUUAAGUAACACUUAUCUGGAAAUUCAUGACUAAGCAACAUCUUGUCUGCUACUUAAUUGUCCUUUCUGUGUGCUUGCUGCCAUUUGAUUCUUGAAUAUGGGCCCUGCAAGUUUUCUUUGCAUAAUAAUUUAUAGUUUUCACAUGGCAAUUAAAGAGGUGGUUUCUCCGUUUUCUUUUAUUGUCAAUCCUUCCCAAGAACAUGUCAAGCUUUGCUUUUGAGAAAGGUAACAAUCCAAGCACAUGCCAAGUUUGUUGGAAAAAUGAUUCUAGUAUCUCAAAAGGAUUUCCAACAAAGUUUUAAUUGUAUAAUACUUUAUAAGUUUCAUAUGGCGAUUAAAGAGGUGGUUUCUCUGUUUUCUUUUAUUAUCAAUCCUUCCCAAGAACAUGUCAAGCUUUGUUUUUGAGAAAGGUAAUAAUCCAAGCACAUGUCAAGUUUUCAUUGCAUAACAAUUUAUUUAUAAGUUUCAAGAGGUGGUUUCUCCCUUUUCUUUUAUUGUCAAUCCUUCCCAAACACAUUUCAAGUUUGCAUUGUAUAAUAAUUAUAGUUUCACAUAGCAAUUCAAGAGGUGGUCUCCCUUUUCUUUUAUUGUCAAUCCUUGCCAAGCACAUGUUUGAAGAAAAAAGACGGGCAUAUUGUUUGGGGAACUUUCUUAGUUGCCUCUGGUGUUGGCUAUCUCAUGAACAUAUAAACUUUGAUUGGUGCUGGUUUCACUCUAAUCAUGCUGUUGAUACUCCCUUUCUCAUAGCAUUUUCAUAUAAAAGUAUGGUAACCUAAGCAAAUUGUAAGUGUCUUUGCUUUAUCAAAAAAUAAAUAGUAAAAAUCUUUGUUUUAUACUCCCUCUGUUUCAAUUUAUUUGUCCUACUUUCCUUUUGAGUCCGUUUUAAAAAGAAUACAUCUUUCCCUUUUUAGCAACUCUUUAAUUCCAACUUUCCAACUUUCCAAAUGGCAAGUUUAUCACCACAAGACUAAAAGGCAUGGCUUGGUACAUGUUGAUUGGGAGCACAUCACGAGUUCACUUCCUGCCACUGACACGAAGCGUGGUAUUUGAGAUUGGAGUGAUGGGCUCAUACUCUACCGAGUUUCAAACCUGUUGGCCAACUGGGGUUUGGCCAGCUAACUCACGGGGGAGAUUCUCAGUUAUCCCAAAAAGAAGUAUGUUAGAGAGGAUUACUUUAAGAACUCCAGUAAAUUUUGAGAAUUACUUUAAAUGCCCAAUAGGCUUGAACUAAACAAGUGUAGAUAAAACUUGAGCUUGAAUUUGCACCCAAACUUUACUCUUUAGGAUCACUUAGGAUAAAUAUGCAUAAGCUGAGGUGAUGGUCUAGUUGAGUGAUGAAGUUGUCAGUUUAGGGUUUCAAGUGUUUCCUCUUCACACUUUGGUGUAGGUAGAAUAAAUUCAUAUUACCUUUUUCUCGGGCUUCAGUUGUCUGGCAAAGCUGCUACCUUAAAGUAGCAUAGAUAUAAGCUAUAUUUUCUUGUCUCCAUUGGUAAUUGGUGAUUUUGUAGAAGUAAUUGAUAAAUAUUAGAUAGGGUGUCUCAUAUAUACUGGUUCAGAAAAUAUUCUGGUGAAUGAAGUUUGCAAUGCAGAAAUUAGAUGAAUAAUAACUAGAAUUGGCUGUGUCGUCCAAACAUGAAAGGAAGGUCAACGUUGCAUGGUGCCUAUAAAUUUUUGUUUUGUUCCUUAUCCAUCUGAUAUGACACAAAAAUGAUUAUCUUGUAUUCAAAGACUACCACCCCAACGUGAAGAAUAAUUGUAAGACCAAUUUUGGUUUUGGGAGUGUGAAUCUUGAGCAAACGCUUGCUUGCCUAUGUUAGAAAAAGUUUAAUUUUCAUGAUAGCAAUAUGCAUGGUCUUUUCUUUCAAAAAUAUAUUAUAUUAGGAGUUGCUAUAUAUUUUUGAAUGGAAGGCCCAUGUGUAUUUCUUUCAUGAAACUUUUUCUCAUAGGUAACGAACAUUCCCUUUUACUGCCUUUUCUGCAAUCAUCAUCAAGAUUCUCCUCCCAAAUUGGACUAAAGCUGGGAUGCAAGUUUUUACAGGUUGGUUGUAUUCAAAAUGCUAAGAUAAGUGUAGACAUUAAAAGCAAUUUCUCACCUAUUGAUAUCAGAAAAGUUUGAUGUCAAAUGACUAAGGCUCUGCGCAUCACCCUUCUUCGAACUUUAUGGGGGAAAGGAUGACCAACAAUUGUAGAAUUUGUUGUGUCCAGAUAAAUUAUGGUAUACAUGACUGGGUUAGAUAAGUUAGGCUACUUCAUGCAGGUUGAUUAUAGACAUUCAGAUAUCUGAUAUCUACAUGUGACUCUCCUUGUUAACUGAUAUAGCAGAAUCAAAUUCCUUGGUAUUUGUGGGCUUCCUCAAGAAACUAAAGUGAAGGGUGUUAUGUGACACGCUAAUGAAGCAAUUCAUUAGUACAGUCACCCAAAUAAUUGUCUGCACUGGCACAACUUGACGCUACUACUUACAAUUAUCCCCAGGGCUUUGGUCUAGUUGUAAGAGUGCAGCAUGCCGUGUGUGUUAGAUUAGGGAUGACAAUUGGACGGGUUAAAUUUGAGGCGGUCAAAACGGGUCAAGACCCAACCCAACCAAGCAAAAAAUUUGCUUGGGUUAAAAUGGGUCAGGUAAUGAGUCAUAAUCCGACCCGCCCAAUCUUUACUAAGUUUUAAUUGUUUUAUUUGUUCUUUUAAAACUUUUUAGUAUCUAAUAAGAAAAAGUAAUUUAUUAUGGCUAUAUAUGACAUCAAAAUUUAAAAGAUCUUUACAAAAAAUUGGCAAAAUUUCUCAUGAGUUAAUUUGGGCUACAUAUGAAAUUGGAUGAGCUAAUAAAUGGGCAGAUCAAUAACCCGCCAAACUUAAUUGAGUUUGAUUUUUCUACCCCUAUGCUAGACGCACUCAGUACUCACGCGCUUGAAACCUACCACAAAUAUAACCCUGGUCUUGAAUUGGAGUAGAGGGUGAACUGGCCUAUUACCAUUGGGGUUUGAACCGUGCGCUCCUAGCCCUUGGGGAUUUCUUGGUUACCAGACAAAAAAAGGAGAUCAGAAAUACAACACACAUUUAUGGGUUUAUAACACUGAACUUGAGUGUGUUGUAUUUGCUAAUGACAUUGUUUUAUGUUUUGAACCGUCACUCAAAAGGUACUACUCCAUCUGCUCCACUUUAUAUGACUCACUUUCUUCUUUAAUCCGUCUCAAAAAGAAUUGACACAAUUCUAUGUUUAGUACGCCCUCCUUCUCAAUUUAUGUGAUGUAGUUAGAUAGAAAGACUUUUGAAACUUGUGGUCUAAAGUAAGUCAUAAAUGUUUGUGUGGCUAUAAAUCAUUUUACUAAGGGUAAAAUGGGUAUUUUUAAGUUAAAUUGUUACUAAAUAUAUAAAUCUGUCAUUCUUUUUUGGAUUUACUAAAGAAGAAAAGGAGUCGCAGUGUUUCAUAAAUUGGGAUAGAGGGAGUAACAAUUUGACUUUAAAUGUUCAUUUUAGCCUUGAUAAAAUGAUUUAUAGUCACACAAACAUCUAUGAUUUAUUUUAGACCACAAGUUUUAAAGGUCUCAUCUUUCUUCUUAAACUCCGUGCCAGUUAAACUACAUCAUAUACAUUGGGACGGAAGGAGUACUUCUAAAAAUAGACAACCUCCCUCUGGAAUCCUGGGAAGUGACUAUCAAUUCCUAUGAAUAUGUUCAUUUACUUUGUGAAUAGAAAGAUAUAUUCUAACUGCACAUUUAUGAGGUUAUAACACUGAACUGAGUGUUAUAACCUUUACUUUGUUCAUUUGCAAAAGGAGAGGUUCUAAACCCAAAGGUUGGAAGGGUUCAAACUCCACAGAGACAAGGUGUUACCUUCCCAUCUGGCUAAAUCUUGGUUUGCAGCAGGUCCAUAUAAUUGUGCUGGUAGGAGGUAGCAGAACCGGGUGGAAUAGUUGAAAUACCAACAAGAUGGUUAGGACAUAACUCUUAUAAAAGGAUUGAAAUGUUAUUAUGGCAAGCAAUUUGAUGUCCAUGUAUUAUACACUGCCGUUCACUCAGGACCAGGAUGCAAUUUCCCAACAGAAGAUCCUUUAUGUUAUUGAAUUUACUUUGUAACUAGAAUCCUCAGGGGUUUCAUAGACAGUUACUCUUGCGUGUUUGGGUCUCUUCUUUUCUUUGUUGAAUCUCUUCAUGUUCUGUUUUGAAAUGUUGUUGAGAUCUCACGGCAGAGGCUCUCUUUAUACCCAAUAUCCCUACAGAGAAGCUCUUGAUAUAUUAUAAUUAGAAGUUAUUGUCAGCUAAAGGACUUACAUGCUAUAAUUUGGUUUUGGGGUUUAUAAGAAUGUUUAGCACUAAAUAAAA
This is an RNA transcript of Solanum stenotomum, 6004 nucleotides long. It is a transcript of the gene named galacturonosyltransferase 8-like, with no coding region annotated. Lineage: Eukaryota; Viridiplantae; Streptophyta; Magnoliopsida; Solanales; Solanaceae. The transcript is spliced from 4 exons. The record is from RefSeq and is a predicted model, not a curated record.